AAUGAACGCUGGCGGCAUGCCUAACACAUGCAAGUCGAGCGGAUGAAGGGAGCUUGCUCCUGGAUUCAGCGGCGGACGGGGGAGUAAUGCCUAUGAAUCUGCCUGAUCUUGGGGGAUAACGUCCUAAAACGGGCGCUAAUACCCGAUACGUCCUUAUGUAGAAAGUGGGUGGUCUUCGGACCUCUCGCUAUGUGAUUAGCCUAGGUCGGAUUAGCUAGGUGGUGGGGUAAAGGCUUACCGAGGCGGCGAUCCGAAACUGGUCUGAGAGGAUGAUCAGUCACACGGGAAGUGAGACAGGGUACAGACUCCUACGGGAGGACGCAGUCGGGAAUCUUAGGCAAUGGGGGAGAGCCUGAUACAGCAAUGCCGCGUGUGGGAUGAAGGUCUUCGGAUUGUAAAGCACUUUAAGUUGGGGGGAAGGGAAGUAAGUUUAUACGUUGCUGUAUUGACGGUACCGAGAGAAUAAGCACCGGCUAACUUCGUG
RNAcentral lists this ribosomal RNA (484 nucleotides) under uncultured bacterium. Its description in RNAcentral is "partial 16S ribosomal RNA". It matches the Rfam family "Bacterial small subunit ribosomal RNA", at positions 29 to 507 of the family's 1533-position model. The record is from RNAcentral.